ACCCGUCGAAAAUCGACGGGAAUAAAUGAAAAUAUAUAAAUAUUUAAUACAUUUUUUAUUUGAUGAUUUUUUUUCACUAAAAUAAAACAUUAAAUAAAUUUUUUGUUUUAAAGUAAAAGAUGUUAACUAAAUAUAUUUUUACUAAUAUUUAGUCAAACAAUUCUCUCAACUCAAAAGCUAAUUGUAAGAAACUAAUUUUAGACACUUCCACCAAUCCAAUAUGAUUAUGAUGAUUUUAGAAAUUUUCGAUGCUUAAAAAUCAACUUCUGUCUCCCCCUCCAAAAAAAAAAAAAAAAAAAAAUCCGAAGUCCCAAGCCAAAACAUGAUUGAGUAAAAGACGAAAUAUAUCCAUCCUCAUAUAACGCAUUAUUGUAAUGCGAUUAUAUAUAAAAGAAAAGAAAAACUUAAGAAACCCUUGAAAGCACAAAAGAAACAGACUAAGGGCCGAGCCUCAUUAAAACCCUUUUACGGAAAACCCGGUAGGAAAAAUCGUAGAAGGAAAAAAGAGUACUCGUCUAAAACGAAAACAAAAAGGAAAGGAAAGAGGAGUGGGAAGGUCAGUUUC
This 565-nucleotide long non-coding RNA is filed under the name Salvia miltiorrhiza (redroot sage). RNAcentral's name for it is "long non-coding RNA (SMIL_LNC009691)". Lineage: Eukaryota; Viridiplantae; Streptophyta; Magnoliopsida; Lamiales; Lamiaceae. The record is from RNAcentral.